UACGUGGGGGGCAAGCGUUGUUCGGAAUUACUGGGCGUAAAGGGUUCGUAGGUGGCCAACUAAGUCAGACGUGAAAUCCCUCAGCUUAACUGGGGAACUGCGUCUGAUACUGAUUGGCUUGAGUGCAGGAGAGGAACGCGGAAUUCCAGGUGUAGCGGUGAAAUGCGUAGAUAUCUGGAGGAACACCGGUGGCGAAGGCGGCGUUCUGGACUGCAACUGACACUGAGGAACGAAAGCCAGGGGAGCAAACGGG
Molecule: ribosomal RNA, 253 nt
Filed under: uncultured bacterium
Lineage: Bacteria
Description: partial 16S ribosomal RNA
Rfam family: Bacterial small subunit ribosomal RNA
Source: RNAcentral